RNAcentral lists this ribosomal RNA (492 nucleotides) under uncultured bacterium. Its description in RNAcentral is "partial 16S ribosomal RNA". It matches the Rfam family "Bacterial small subunit ribosomal RNA", at positions 29 to 507 of the family's 1533-position model. The record is from RNAcentral.
AGUGAACGCUGGCGGUAGGCCUAACACAUGCAAGUCGAACGGCAGCACAGUAAGAGCUUGCCCUUACGGGUGGCGAGUGGCGGACGGGUGAGGAAUACAUCGGAAUCUACUUUUUCGUGGGGGAUAACGUAGGGAAACUUACACUAAUACCGCAUACGACCUACGGGUGAAAGCAGGGGAUCUUCGGACCUUGCGCGAUUGAAUGAGCCGAUGUCGGAUUAGCUAGUUGGCGGGGUAAAGGCCCACCAAGGCGACGAUCCGUAGCUGGUCUGAGAGGAUGAUCAGCCACACUGGAACUGAGACACGGUCCAGACUCCUACGGGAGGCAGCAGUGGGGAAUAUUGGACAAUGGGCGCAAGCCUGAUCCAGCCAUACCGCGUGGGUGAAGAAGGCCUUCGGGUUGUAAAGCCCUUUUGUUGGGAAAGAAAAGCAGCAGGUUAAUACCCCGCUGUUCUGACGGUACCCAAAGAAUAAGCACCGGCUAACUUCGUG